Molecule: small nucleolar RNA, 127 nt
Filed under: Olea europaea subsp. europaea
Lineage: Eukaryota; Viridiplantae; Streptophyta; Magnoliopsida; Lamiales; Oleaceae
Description: Small nucleolar RNA snoR74
Rfam family: Small nucleolar RNA snoR74
Source: Rfam by way of RNAcentral
AAAAAAGCAGGGAUCUGUUGCCCUUUGUGAACUGGUCUCCUGUAAACUUCAGGGAUAGAAAUUUGCAAUGUUUUUGGGUGAACCUCAAGUUCCAAUGAUUGAUGGUUCACUAAACAAUGUUACACCA